RNAcentral lists this ribosomal RNA (526 nucleotides) under uncultured bacterium. RNAcentral's name for it is "bacterial SSU rRNA". It matches the Rfam family "Bacterial small subunit ribosomal RNA", at positions 29 to 537 of the family's 1533-position model. The record is from RNAcentral.
ACGAACGCUGGCGGCGUGCCUAAUACAUGCAAGUCGAGCGAACAGAUAAGGAGCUUGCUCCUUUGAAGUUAGCGGCGGACGGGUGAGUAACACGUGGGUAACCUACCUAUAAGACUGGGAUAACUUCGGGAAACCGGAGCUAAUACCGGAUAAUAUUUAGAACCGCAUGGUUCUAAAGUGAAAGAUGGUUUUGCUAUCACUUAUAGAUGGACCCGCGCCGUAUUAGCUAGUUGGUAAGGUAACGGCUUACCAAGGCGACGAUACGUAGCCGACCUGAGAGGGUGAUCGGCCACACUGGAACUGAGACACGGUCCAGACUCCUACGGGAGGCAGCAGUAGGGAAUCUUCCGCAAUGGGCGAAAGCCUGACGGAGCAACGCCGCGUGAGUGAUGAAGGGUUUCGGCUCGUAAAACUCUGUUAUUAGGGAAGAACAAAUGUGUAAGUAACUGUGCACAUCUUGACGGUACCUAAUCAGAAAGCCACGGCUAACUACGUGCCAGCAGCCGCGGUAAUACGUAGGUGGCAA